Long non-coding RNA from Podarcis raffonei (Aeolian wall lizard), 2477 nucleotides. RefSeq lists it as uncharacterized. The transcript has 3 exons. Lineage: Eukaryota; Metazoa; Chordata; Lepidosauria; Squamata; Lacertidae. The record is from RefSeq and is a predicted model, not a curated record.
CUCCGACGUCCAUCAUGUGGACCAUCUUGUCAGGAGGGAGCAAGAAGCCUUCUCUCUGGAAGCGUUCCUGCAGCUUCCUCAAGUGGGAGGGCAGCUGCCCCCCUAGCUAUGCCCCUGCUUACCCUGGGAGCAGAAGAUCAUCACCCCAGGUUCCUACAGAGAUGCCUCCUCCCCCUUGAUACGCACCUUAACCAGAAAGACUCUCCUCUUUCAUCGUGAGAGCUGGUUGGAUUAUGACCUGAGAGGCCUGGAUUCGAAUCCCCACUCAGAAAGGAAGCUAACCAGGUGACAAUGGGCCCUUCAACAUCUCUCAGCCUAACCUACUUCACAGGGUUGUUGUGGAGAUGAAAUGGGGAGGAGGAGAACCAGGUACAACAUCACCUUACGCUCCUGGGGGGGGGGAAUGGUAUAUUAAUGUAAUAAAUAAAUGUGCCAAGCAAAUAAGACUUGGGGGGAGUGAGGACUAAAAUAGCUAGUGGAAGGGGCCUUGAAAGAGAUGGUUGCCACUCUGCACAUACCCAGAAGCAGCUUGUGCCACAGCAGAAGUUAAGCCCUAAUCAAGUCUGAGCAGCCACUGAGGGUUUGAUUUCAGCCUCCGCUGUUGCAAGUGAUGAAGAGUGCCCAUGAGCAUACCCAGAGUGCUCCCCGCUCCCCCGAAUCUCACUGUCAGAAAGAGUCUCCUCCAUCAUAUUGCAAGUAAACAAGCCUUGCGGGGAAUGAGGACUAAACCAGCCAUUGGAGGGCACUUGUCGGUUCGUGUGGAAACAGGACGGAGCUUUGCAAGGGCUGCGCACAUGCCCAGAGGCACCUUGUGCCACAGCAGGAGGCUUGCGCAGCGACGGCGUUCUAAAAGCGGCGAAGAGCGCCCCCUCGAGCAUACCCAGAUCGCCUCCCGACCCCUACUCACGCGUUCGCUUGGUGGCGACGCGGCCCUUGACGCGCCGGAGCUCGAGGGCGCCGUCGGGCCGGCCGGGAGCGAAGACGGCCGUGUGGAUCUCCAUAGAGCAGGCGCCCUCGACUUCGAAGACCUCGCGGAGCAGCUCCUCGAGGCGAAUCAGGGCUUCGUACUCCUCCUCGGGCCGCGGCUGCACAAUCACGCCCACCAGGGCGGCCGGCGCGCCGCGGCUCUGGUCCCGCACGCCCUGCAGUACCUCCCGCAGCCGCGCCGCCCGCUCCCGCAGCGACGCCGCCCGGCACAGGAAGAAAGUCAGCUGCCCCGACGGCGCGACCGAGGAAGUGCAGGGCGGCGACUGAGUGCCUAGCUGCUGCUGCUGCUGCUGCGCCUUCGCGGUGGGCUCGGCACCAGGGGCCUCUUGGGAGCCGCCACCCGUUGUGGGCAGCACGUGGUGCGCGAAGGAGCUGAGGACCUGCUGGCCGCUCUCGGCCCCCCACGGCUCGCCGGCCAGGAGCACCACUUGCGUUCGCUGCACCACCGCGCCCCCGGGUUCGCCCUCGCACGGGUCCUGGUGGGCGUCGGUCCGCCGCCCUCCGCCCCGCUGCUCUUUCCUCUCCAUUCCGCCCGGCUCCAGCUGCUGGUGGCGCCUCCCGACGGGACGGGCGCCACUCGCACAGUGUCACAAUCCCUCCUCGCGUAAGGGGCCCUUGCUGCUGCCACUGCUGCUGCGUGUGCCCACGAAACGCCGCGCGCUUGGUCUUGGCUGCCCGUGCGCCCUGGGCGCACCGGCUAGAUGUGUGCGCCCUGGGCGCAUUUGGCGAGCCCCCUGUUCUUCGGAGUGCCCAAGCAAGCGUGCAAGAAUUUUGGCCACGGUUGUUGCCUCCUCAAAAGCUUUCGAGGCUUGGAGAGAGAAGCGACCGGGACGAAGAAUGUGGAAGUCAGCCUCUUUGGCACCAGGUCCAUUUGGGAAGGCACGGCUCUCCGCUCUCAUUCUAUUGCUCGUGGCCUUUCGCGAAAGAAACGACGACAACUCUUUAACUGACACUACUCAAUGCAGGCAUGUUUACUCGAAAGAAAGCCCUACAGAGCCCAGUAGUUCAGGUACUGGGGAUCUCAAAACUGGAUUACUGCACUGCGUUCUGUGUGGGGCUUCCCUUGUGCUUCAUGAUCCAGAAGCUCUAGUGAUUGCAAAAUGCUACAGCAGAGUUGCCGACAGGAGAAACAUUUUUGUUUAGGCAAACCAAUCCAGGCACAUAAUUGUCAAUGUGGUUUAAUCUCUUUAACUCUUAAUUUAUUUUUAAAGGUGUCGUUUCUUUUAUUGAUAAUUUUAUUUUUUCUUGUAAACCAUUAAGAGGUUUUGCUACAAUCAAGCAGUAUAUAAAUUUUGCAAAAUAAACAUUAUUACAUUUGCUCCCAAGUGUGUUUACCAUGGCAGACUAUAUGGGUUGUUCCUGAUGGUUGGGCGGGAUUCAGCCACAUACUGGCAAAUUCAUGUUAUGCAAUAGAAGUUGAUUUGGAGCUCAUGUGUGACAAACCACCUGCCUCCUUCCCUCUCAAAAAAAGUAAUGGGAAAAUGCACUGG